RNAcentral lists this ribosomal RNA (443 nucleotides) under uncultured bacterium. Its description in RNAcentral is "partial 16S ribosomal RNA". It matches the Rfam family "Bacterial small subunit ribosomal RNA", at positions 338 to 795 of the family's 1533-position model. The record is from RNAcentral.
CCUACGGGAGGCAGCAGUGGGGAAUAUUGGGCAAUGGGCGCAAGCCUGACCCAGCAACGCCGCGUGAAGGAAGAAGGCUUUCGGGUUGUAAACUUCUUUUGUCAGGGACGAAGCAAGUGACGGUACCUGACGAAUAAGCCUCGGCUAACUACGUGCCAGCAGCCGCGGUAAUACGUAGGUGGCAAGCUUUAUCCGGAUUUAUUGGGUGUAAAGGGCGUGUAGGCGGGAAUUCAAGUCAGAUGUGAAAACUAUGGGCUCAACCCAGAGCCUGCAUGUGAAACUGUAUUUCUUGAGUGCUGGAGAGGCAAUCGGAAUUCCGGGUGUAGCGGUGAAAUGCGUAGAUAUACGGAGGAACACCAGUGGCGAAGGCGGAUUGCUGGACAGUAACUGACGCUGAGGCGCGAAAGCGUGGGGAGCGAACAGGAUUAGAUACCCUUGUAGUC